Molecule: ribosomal RNA, 253 nt
Filed under: uncultured bacterium
Lineage: Bacteria
Description: partial 16S ribosomal RNA
Rfam family: Bacterial small subunit ribosomal RNA
Source: RNAcentral
GACAGAGGGUGCAAACGUUGUUCGGAUUUACUGGGCGUAAAGCGCGUGUAGGCGGCCUUGCAAGUCGGAUGUGAAAGCCCACGGCUCAACCGUGGAAGUGCAUCCGAAACUGCAUAGCUUGAGUCUCGGAGAGGAAGGUGGAAUGCUUGGUGUAGAGGUGAAAUUCGUAGAUAUCAAGCAGAACGCCUGCGGCGAAGGCGGCCUUCUGGACGAUGACUGACGCUGAGACGCGAAAGCGUGGGGAGCAAACAGG